This 68-nucleotide transfer RNA is filed under the name Mydaus javanensis (Sunda stink badger). Its description in RNAcentral is "tRNA-Arg". The record is from RNAcentral. Lineage: Eukaryota; Metazoa; Chordata; Mammalia; Carnivora; Mephitidae.
UGAUAAUUAGUUUAACUAAAACAAGUGAUUUCGACUCACUAAAUUGUAAUUCUUAUUACAAUUAUCAA